UCGGUGAUGCAGCUAACGCAUUAAACAUUCCGCCUGGGGAGUACGGUCGCAAGAUUAAAACUCAAAGGAAUAGACGGGGACCCGCACAAGUGGUGGAGCAUGUGGUUUAAUUCGAAGAUACGCGAAGAACCUUACCUAGCCUUGACAUAUAUUAGAAUCUUUCAGAGAUGAGAGAGUGCCUUCGGGAGCUUUUAUACAGGUGCUGCACGGCUGUCGUCAGCUCGUGUCGUGAGAUGUUGGGUUAAGUCCCGCAACGAGCGCAACCCUCGUCACUAGUUACUAACGGUUCGGCCGAGGACUCUAGUGAGACUGCCUUCGCAAGGAGGAGGAAGGUGAGGACGACGUCAAGUCAUCAUGGCCCUUACGGCUAGGGCAACACACGUGCUACAAUGGCCAGGACAGUGAGACGCGAUACCGCGAGGUGGAGCAAAUCUAUAAACCUGGUCUCAGUUCGGAUUGUAGUCUGCAACUCGACUACAUGAAGCUGGAAUCACUAGUAAUCGUAGAUCAGCUAUGCUACGGUGAAUACGUUCCCGGGUCUUGUACUCACCGCCCGUCACACCAUGGGAGUUGAUUUCACCCGAAGCGGGGAAGCUAAACUGGCUACCCUCCACGGUGGAAUUAGCGACUGGGGUGAAGUCGUAACAAGGUA
This 652-nucleotide ribosomal RNA is filed under the name uncultured bacterium. Its description in RNAcentral is "bacterial SSU rRNA". It matches the Rfam family "Bacterial small subunit ribosomal RNA", at positions 840 to 1498 of the family's 1533-position model. The record is from RNAcentral.